Long non-coding RNA from Bufo bufo (common toad), 466 nucleotides. RefSeq lists it as uncharacterized. The transcript is spliced from 3 exons. The record is from RefSeq and is a predicted model, not a curated record. NCBI's taxonomy places the organism in Eukaryota, Metazoa, Chordata, Amphibia, Anura, Bufonidae.
UACAGGAUGGUUCAGAAGAACAUCAAAGCAUUCCAUAUGAUGAUCAGAAAGAUGGAAAUAAGGUUUUAAAUCUGGGUAAAGAUCUGACCAAUAUUAAGGCUGAAGAUACAUAUGUGAGGAGUGAUAAGCAGAUCAUAGAGGACAUUCCCACCGAUAACCACCCAGCCUUUCACAGCAAAGAUCUAUCAUCUGAUCCUUUGGAUGGAUUUCAAUCAUCUGAUUCAUCACAGACUGUUAAGCAAAAUAAAAGCCACAGACGAAGUGUUCUUCAUCAAAGAAGUCACACAGGGGAGAAUGCUCUUUCAUGCUCAGAAUGUGGGAAAUGUUAUAAAUCUAAAUCAUAUCUUAUGAGACAUCAGAGAAGUCACAUAGGCGAGAAGCCAUUUUCAUGUUCAGAAUGUGAAAAACAUUUUAACUGUAAAUCAAAACUUGUUAUACAUGAGAGAACUCACACAGGGAAGAAGCC